ACAAUCUACUGAGUAAACUCUUGACUGUCUUGUUGCCCACCAGAUUAAACUGUGGACCCUUCAUUCCUGGUAUAGGUGUAUAAUGGGAAUAAUAAUUUAAAACUGCUUUGCAAUAUGCGUCCUUAUUACUAAGCCAGUUUUUCUUCCUGCAUCCCAUCUGCCACCCAUGCUAGGCCAUGUGGCUCAGUGCCCAUGGGAACAAUGACGUAGGGGAAGACCUACCCCCUGCAAAGGAGCACUUUGGAGGAGGAGAGGGAGGACGAGAGAGCGGGGCAAAGACGUGCGAUGCCUGUGUCCUCACUUCCUCCUCCUGUUGGGAUGAUUGAUGGAAAACCAGUGGCCACAGUGUCCACAGAGCAAGCGCUCUGCUCAGUUACUUCCCAGGCAAGAAAUCUUCUUUCUCUUUGGUCUCUUCCUCUGAGCAACCAAGAAGAAGAGCAACAGCCUGCAUCCACGUCUUCACUCAAAUCAGAAUAUUUUCUUCCCAAGAGGAAAUAUGCAAAAUACUCUUCUGCUUGAAAAGAAUAAUAGGUUAAGAUCAAAGUUAAGUUCACUGCUAGUGUGUAGAAUAGCAACCCUGUUGGCCAGAGUUUGAAGUGGCGUUACUAUGUGGCGGAUGUACAUGAAGUCUAAAGGAACAAGGGUAGUGGUGCACUGUGACCACGAACAACACGGAGCAACGGCAUCUGAAAGGCAGGUAAUGCGAUUUAAUCUUGCUGAACUGCUAUCACAGAAUCCCUUCUUGCUUCUUCCUGCCCUUUACUGAGUUCUGAGUCAGGAGAAGACAGUGAAUACUGCAGUGGAACUCUCCGAAGGGAAGGGUCCAAGGUGGGGAAUGUUGUGAUUGUGUGUGCG
Molecule: long non-coding RNA, 855 nt
Filed under: Equus caballus (horse)
Lineage: Eukaryota; Metazoa; Chordata; Mammalia; Perissodactyla; Equidae
Description: lncRNA (ENSECAG00000053069.1)
Source: RNAcentral